UUAUCUUAACACAAAGUACUUCAGGGAAUAGAAUAAAGUUGCAAACGGGGAAUCAAUUCCAAUACAACUUUUUUUCCUUGAAAAACAAACACAAAAACAGUUUCCUUCCCAGCAAAGAAAGAAAGUGACCACAGCAAAACAUGGGUUGCUUCAGUUCUCGCAGUUCCACAUCCAAAUCCUCAUCUCCCAUAGAACCACCACCCUAUCAAAUUCAAAAUCAACAUCAAAAUGCUGCUCAGCAAUACCAAGAACCCCAAAAUCUCCAACAACAAGUCCUUCUGCAAAUCCCAGGAUGUAGAGUUCACCUCAUGGAUGAAGGAGAAAGUAUAGAACUUGCAAACGGUGAGUUCAUCCUUGAGAACAUCUUGGACGAGAAUAUUUCUCUGGCCACCAUAAUCAAAGUUGGUGAUGAACUUCAGUGGCCCCUGACAAAAGAUGAGCCUGUUGUAAAGCUUGAUGCUUUGCACUAUCUCUUCUCUUUGCCCAUGCAUGGUGGUGAUCCUCUGAGCUAUGGUGUCACUUUUCCAGAGCAGUAUGAAAGCAAUUUGGGCUUUCUGGAUUCGUUUUUGAAAGAGCACUCUUGCUUUAGCGGCUUGAGCACAUCCACCAAAACUAACAAAGGUGUUGAUUGGAAGGAGUAUGCUCCAAGAAUGGAUGACUACAAUAAUGUGUUGGCAAAAGCAAUUGCAGGAGGGACUGGCCAGAUUGUCAAGGGGAUCUUCAUGUGUAGCAAUGGUUACACCAAUCAGCUUCAAAAAGGAGGGGAAGUGACAUUGGCUCGUCCUGUUGAGGAGAAAAGUUAUGUCAAGGAACAAGGAAGUAAUAGCGGCAAAAAUUCUGGUGCCAAAAAGAAGAGUGAAAUCAACAAGAGCUUGAAACGUGUGAGAAAGUUGUCAAAGAUGACAUCAAAGCUCAGCAAAUCUAUGCUUGAUGGGGUUGGCAUUGCGACCGGAUCAGUGAUGAGGCCUGUGGUUAACUCCCAGGCAGGGAAGGCAUUCUUUGCCAUGGUUCCAGGACAGGUCCUCUUGGCUUCCCUUGAUGCCGUCAAUAAGAUUUUGGAUGCAGCUGAAGUUGCAGAGAAGCAAGCGCUUUCUGCUACCUCUGGUGCUGCUACUAGAAUGGUCAGCAACAGGUUUGGGGAAAGUGCAGGGGAGGCAACUGAGGAUGUGUUUGCAACAGCAGGGCAUUGUGCAAACACUGCUUGGAACAUCUUCAAAAUAAGAAAGGCCAUCAAUCCAGCAUCAUCUGUCUCUACAGGAGUAUUGAAGAAUGCUGCCAAAAGCAGAAGCAGAAGUUCUUAAAAGCCAAUUUGAGAUUUAUUACUCGUCAUUCACUGGAGGUUGUGGUAAAAAUGUAUGAAAGAAAAUUCCUCAAUAGAUUGUUGGUCCUAAUCUUGAGUCUUCACAACCACUGUGUAGAGACAUGCAAGAGGUUUUAGAGAGGCAAAGCGAGAAACUAGAGAAAGAAGGCGUAGACGAGCUGCAUGCAAAAGGGCGCAAAGAGAACUAGAUCAACAAAUUGUCAUAGCAGUGGCUUUGCUUGAUGAAGAAAACCAGAGCCGUCGUGGUUCACGAGAAUGCCGUGCCCCGAAUGUGGACAGACAUAGACAUUCUCGGGGUGGAUGAGAUUGCCCGGAUGGGGAAGUUCACUGCUUUGGAGAGCUUUGUAAGAUUUUGUGAUGUAGUG
Molecule: non-coding RNA, 1686 nt
Organism: Prunus mume (Japanese apricot)
Lineage: Eukaryota; Viridiplantae; Streptophyta; Magnoliopsida; Rosales; Rosaceae
Source: RefSeq, a predicted model, not a curated record